UACGGGGGGGAGCAAGCGUUGUUCGGAUUUACUGGGCGUAAAGGGCGCGUAGGCGGUCGUGACAAGUCACUUGUGAAAUCUCCGGGCUUAACUCGGAACGGUCAAGUGAUACUGUCGGACUAGAGUACAGAAGGGGCAAUCGGAAUUCUUGGUGUAGCGGUGAAAUGCGUAGAUAUGCGGAGGAACACCGAUGGCGAAGGCAAUCCCCCUGGGCCUGCACUGACGCUCAUGCACGAAAGCGUGGGGAGCAAACAGG
This 256-nucleotide ribosomal RNA is filed under the name uncultured bacterium. RNAcentral describes it as "partial 16S ribosomal RNA". It matches the Rfam family "Bacterial small subunit ribosomal RNA", at positions 524 to 776 of the family's 1533-position model. The record is from RNAcentral.